Molecule: ribosomal RNA, 429 nt
Filed under: Chloroflexota bacterium
Lineage: Bacteria; Bacillati; Chloroflexota
Description: Chloroflexi bacterium partial 16S ribosomal RNA
Rfam family: Bacterial small subunit ribosomal RNA
Source: RNAcentral
UGGGGAAUAUUGCACAAUGGGCGCAAGCCUGAUGCAGCCAUGCCGCGUGUGUGAAGAAGGCCUUCGGGUUGUAAAGCACUCUCAGCGGGGAGGAAGGCGAUAAGGUUAAUAACCUUGUCGAUUGACGUUACCCGCAGAAGAAGCACCGGCUAACUCCGUGCCAGCAGCCGCGGUAAUACGGAGGGUGCAAGCGUUAAUCGGAAUUACUGGGCGUAAAGCGCACGCAGGCGGUCUGUCAAGUCGGAUGUGAAAUCCCCGGGCUCAACCUGGGAACUACAUUCGAAACUGGCAGGCUAGAGUACUUUAGAGGGGGGUAGAAUUCCAGGUGGAGCGGUGAAAUGCGUAGAGAUCUGGAGGAAUACCGGUGGCGAAGGCGGCCCCCUGGACAAAGACUGACGCUCAGGUGCGAAAGCGUGGGGAGCAAACAGG